RNAcentral lists this transfer RNA (54 nucleotides) under Osteocephalus leprieurii (Cayenne slender-legged treefrog). Its description in RNAcentral is "tRNA-Thr". The record is from RNAcentral. Lineage: Eukaryota; Metazoa; Chordata; Amphibia; Anura; Hylidae.
UUAAAGCAUUGGUCUUGUAAACCAAAGAAUAAAGUAUAAAACCUUUCUGAAGCU